Molecule: ribosomal RNA, 278 nt
Filed under: uncultured Faecalibacterium sp.
Lineage: Bacteria; Bacillati; Bacillota; Clostridia; Eubacteriales; Oscillospiraceae
Description: partial 16S ribosomal RNA
Rfam family: Bacterial small subunit ribosomal RNA
Source: RNAcentral
CGAGAGAGAGCUUGCUUUCUCAAGCGAGUGGCGAACGGGUGAGUAACGCGUGAGGAACCUGCCUCAAAAAAGGGGGGACAACAGUUGGAAACGACUGCUAAUACCGCAUAAGCCCACAGGUCGGCAUCGACCAGAGGGAAAAGGAGCAAUCCGCUUUGAGAUGGCCUCGCGUCCGAUUAGCUAGUUGGUGAGGUAAUGGCCCACCAAGGCAACGAUCGGUAGCCGGACUGAGAGGGUUGAACGGGCCACAUUGGGGACUGAGACACGGCCCAGACUCC